AGGACGAACGCUGGCGGCGUGCUUAACACAUGCAAGUCGAGCGAGGCCCUCUCUUCGGAGAGGUGCCCUAGCGGCGAACGGGUGAGUAACACGUGGGCAACCUGCCCCUAGCACUGGGAUAAGCCCGGGAAACCGGGUCUAAUACCGGAUAUGACCUUCAAGGGCAUCCUCGAAGGUGUAAAGGAUUCUGGCUAGGGAUGGGCCCGCGGCCUAUCAGCUUGUUGGUGGGGUAAUGGCCCACCAAGGCAACGACGGGUAGCCGGCCUGAGAGGGCGACCGGCCACACUGGGACUGAGACACGGCCCAGACUCCUACGGGAGGCAGCAGUGGGGAAUAUUGCACAAUGGGCGAAAGCCUGAUGCAGCGACGCCGCGUGAGGGAUGACGGCCUUCGGGUUGUAAACCUCUUUCAGCUCCGACGAAGCGAAGUGACGGUAGGAGCAGAAGAGCACCGGCCAACUACGUGCCAGCAGCCGC
RNAcentral lists this ribosomal RNA (476 nucleotides) under uncultured bacterium. RNAcentral describes it as "SSU rRNA". It matches the Rfam family "Bacterial small subunit ribosomal RNA", at positions 26 to 518 of the family's 1533-position model. The record is from RNAcentral.